AGGGGUGAAGAGAAGGAGACUGGAUUGGGGAGAGAAUAAACAAGUGAUCAUCAGAGAGACCUUUUAUUUUCUCAGUUAGAGGUGAGUCAGCAGGCUUCACCAUUAGCGGAAGGAAGAACUCUCAAAACUAUUUCAAGACUCUUGGCUCUGGGUCCCUAGUCACUGUUCAGUUUUCUGGCUCUAAUUUGGAGUCCCUGGAGAUGUCACUACAGAGAAAGUGCACUGGCCAGAAAACCCGUGUACCCCAGGGUCCUUAAUGUUUAUUUUUCUCAUUGUACAUUCAUAUGUUGAUUUGUGGUAUAUGAUUUUUUUUUCUCUGUUGAGUCUGGAGAGUUGAGCUCCACGGCCCCAACAACGCUUCUCAUUAUGGAGUCCAAGUAGUUUCUUGACUGCUAACUUGAGUGUCAAGAAUCUGUGAGAUUCAGUUUAAAUGAGCAGCUGGAUUCUUUCAGUAACAUCUCCAAGUUGUUUCUAAACAACUGUAAAAUGUAUCAUAGACUUUGUAGAGCUGUUAGGAGUCAACAUUUUACAAAGAAGGUAGCAGGCUCAAAGAGAUGAAAUGACAAGCCAAGGACACAGGGCAAGAAGGUGGAUGGAUAGAGACACAAACCUUUUGAACAUGAAGGCAACAUUGCUUCCACACCUUGCAGUGUUUCUCACAAACACCAUUGGGCCCAAGGACUUUGUUUUCAUCCACUUACACGCCCAUUGGGCUUUUAAUGACAAUACACCUUUGUUAGGAAGCAGAUCCUUCCCCAGAUAAAAUGACUUCAUAAUUAUAGAAGCUUCACAUAUAGAAUUUUUCCUGAGCCCUCAUAGCUUCCCAAACCAAUAUAUGUUGAUCCAUGAUGAUGCACUUCUUAAGCCUGACAUGGAUUUCUUCCUCUUUUUUUAGUCAUCCAAAAGUACCCCUGCUGAAGCCUAUUAAAAUUCAGGUGAAAAAAAGAUAAAUAAAACUCCCUUGCUUGAAAAUUUGAUCUUCUCAUUUUGAAACUAACUCUUAAGCUUUGACAAAAUGUUUAUGUUCUAUUAAAAAUACAGCCAUCCAUCAAGUGUGGUUUUAUAGGUAAGAAUUAAAAGGGGAGGUCAGGACGCCCCAAGGAUGUGAUUUACAUCCUUAAUUAUGUUUCGACAGACCUCCUGCACACAGAAUUGCCUUCCAAUGUAACAGCCAUAUAAAGUUCAUUUUUAUCUGUUUUGACUUGUUUGUUAUGCUGCAUUUGCCCAAUGCUCACAGAGCUAGAGAAUAACAGAAACCAGACCAGAAAUGACUGCCUUUUCUCUGGGCCCAAAAUGUCAUGUAUCAGAACAGUCACUGGGCUCCUACCAGUCUGUUGAUAGGAUUCACGCUGUGACCUCUCCCAUUUGUUCCAUUUAAAUUACCCUGAAGGCAUGACUCAGCAGGGCUCUGAAUUGGGAUUGGCAUAUGCUGUGCAAACAGCCCAUCCUCAGACCUCAGUAACCCCUCACCAGUAGCCUAGGAAAAUCUCUAUGACAAAAACUUACGGGUUCGGACUCCAGGAGCAGUGGAAGUCCACUGCCAGAAACCUAAAUGGUGGCAUGGUUCUGAGAAUGUGGACUCUGAACAGGCUCCGUGUUGCUGCUUCCCAUCCCUGCCACUCUUCAGCCCGCUGUGGGCAGGAAGUGUCUCCUCAUGAGUAAACGAGGGAUUUUAAAGGAUGUAAAACCCGUGUUUAUAUCAUAUGGUUGCCAUGAGGAUUAAGUGACACAUUUCGCUUAGUGUGUGAGAUACAUAUACAUGAGAUUAUUUGUGUAACCAGCCUCUAACAGUUCUAACAGAAACUGGUGCAUGGAAAUCCUUAAAAUGCCAUUUAUCCAUUCAUUUUAAGGGACCUUUCCUCUUUGGUACUUAGACUCUUGAACGUUAAUAACAAGAAGAAAGGAGAGACAAGCUAAAGAAAUGCAAUGCAAUUUUCCACAUCUUUUUUUUUUUUCUUUUUUUGCUCUCUUUUAUUCUGGGAAAGAAGCAAUUGAAUGGGAACCAUGGAGAAUUAGUAUUGUUGAAGGAGUAAAAUAAAUCACAAUGAACCUAUAAAAAUCAGGCUAAUCAGCACGGCUAACAUAAUAAACAGACAAGCUUUUCAGCUUGGUGGGAUGGGUUGACCUGAAAGUUGAAUUCACAUGAACAGAAAAUUGGGAGGAAGAUAAGAGGUCGCACUUGUAACACAUUCUAACGGUGGAUUUGCCCAAUGACCAAUUUCCCCUGACUUGAAAACAACACGAGAAAAGAGGAACAGCUGAGAUGCCGGGUGCCGGGUGUUGGUGGCUUCCUCGAUUGUACAGGAAGGCUACUCAAUGCCUGGGCGCCGUGCUUCCUGGAGUAGAUGCUACCACAGGCAGAGCAGACUGGACCCCAAAACUCAGCAGGGCCAUCUAGACACAUGUUGUGCACCCUGGGGUUGUCCCCAAAUAGCCCAGCCAACCUCCUCCGCUUAAUACUAAAACACGUUUGGGAGAAUUGAGAAAUUGACCUUAGUUUUAAAAAGGGCCUGUUUAGGGGCACCUGGGUGGCUCAGUCGGUUAAGCGACCAACUCUUUGGUUGUUGGUAAUUAAGUUUUCUCAUCCCCUUUAUCAGUGAUUGGCGUUGGAAGGAACAUGUGAUCUCAUGGACCAUCCUGUUAGUGCCAGGGGAAUUCGCUGACACUAGGGAGGGGUGGGUGACAAAGGGGAAGCAGAGCCCUGGAUGGCAUCCUUGGGAGAAAUCUGAAGUGGGCCUGCCUUAGGAUACCCCCCUCUGACAGCCAAUAAAUGUCUCUAUUAAUUCAAA
Leopardus geoffroyi (Geoffroy's cat) is the source of this 2789-nucleotide long non-coding RNA. RefSeq lists it as uncharacterized. The transcript has 2 exons. Lineage: Eukaryota; Metazoa; Chordata; Mammalia; Carnivora; Felidae. The record is from RefSeq and is a predicted model, not a curated record.